GGUUAAAACAUAGCAAUUAAAAGACACAGAUGGGUAGGUUUUUAAAUCAAUCUAACAGUGUACUUUUUACCAGAAGAUGACUUUAAAUAUUAAUGGUAAAGACAGAUUAGAAGCUAAAAGGAUGAGAAAAUAUAUCAUGCUAACACUAAAAAAAAAAAUUGAGUGUCUAUAUUAAGAAGAAAAAAGGGAGGGAAAUUUCCAGAGAUGUCCUUCAGUAAGGGAAAGGAUGAACUGAUACAUCCAUACAAUCCAAACAUAUUAUUCAGUGUUAAAAAGAAAUGAGCUGUCAAGCUACAAAACAAAACAAAACAAAACAAAAACAAACAAAAACUAAAAACCUUUAGAAAACCAUGGGGAGACCUUAAAUGUGUAUUACUGAAUGAAAAAAACCAAUCUGAGAAGGCUGCGUACUGUGUGAUUCCAACUGUAUAACAUUGUAGAAAAGGCAAAGCUUUGGGUAUGGUAAAAGGAUUAGUGGUUGCCAGGAUUUUGGGGGGAUAAAGGGAAGAAUGAAUAGAGGGGGUGCAAAGGA
Long non-coding RNA from Mustela erminea (ermine), 532 nucleotides. RefSeq lists it as uncharacterized. NCBI's taxonomy places the organism in Eukaryota, Metazoa, Chordata, Mammalia, Carnivora, Mustelidae. The transcript is spliced from 2 exons. The record is from RefSeq and is a predicted model, not a curated record.